GCUGUGCUUUAUUUUCCCCCAGUACUGGGGAUUGAACCCUGGACCUUUGCAGUGAACUAUAUCCUAAACCCUUUUUAAAUUUUUUAUUUUAAAAUGGGGUCUUGAGAAGUCAUUAACUUCCCAGGCUAGGAUCUAACCUGCAAUCCUCCUGCCUCAACCUCCCUAAGUGUUGGAUUACAGGUGUACACCUCCACGCUUGUCUAGAAUUUGCUAUCUUUACCCAUAUUUCUUUUCUAAAAAUUCUAGCUACUUUAGUUUCUAUUACUUUUGCCUAGUUCUUUCCUUUCUUUUAUUUUUGUGAAUACAGAUUACAUGAAAUACAUGUUAUUUUAAAAAACAUAUGCAUAAUGAAAUUAAAAAUGACAUUUGCCACCCAACGCGUGAAGUUACUCUAUGUUCUUUUACCACAAAUAUACACACAAAAAUAUAGAAGUAAUAUAUUGCUGAGUUUUGCUUAUUUUUAAAUUCUAUGUUUUAAAAUAUGUACAUAAUAUAGUCCUCAAGGUAAUGAAAGGUGUUGAGACUAUGGGAACUUUAGGGGGUGGGGCGUGAGGCGCUGCGAUCAGGGUGCCAGCCUCAGAAGGGAUCGACUCCGCCCUAGGGGAGUGGGUUCAGUCUCAAGAGACUGGAUUGGUUACCACGCCAGUGAGUCGUAAGACAGCAAGUUCACAUUUACUUUCCUGUUCCACACAUGCUCCUGCCAAGUCAUGAUACCAGAUGUGGUCACCCGGUCUAGCUUCCAGAACUGUGAACUGAAAGAAGUAUCUUCUCCUUACCAACCAUCUCAAGUAUUUUGUGAGAGCAGCAGAAGUGGACUAAGGCAUCUGUGGUUCUCCAUUGUUUUUCAAUGCCAAUGCUUUGCAAGGGAACAGAUUUAA
This 878-nucleotide long non-coding RNA is filed under the name Fukomys damarensis (Damara mole-rat). RNAcentral describes it as "lncRNA (ENSFDAG00000032794.1)". The record is from RNAcentral. Lineage: Eukaryota; Metazoa; Chordata; Mammalia; Rodentia; Bathyergidae.